RNAcentral lists this ribosomal RNA (253 nucleotides) under uncultured bacterium. Its description in RNAcentral is "partial 16S ribosomal RNA". It matches the Rfam family "Bacterial small subunit ribosomal RNA", at positions 524 to 776 of the family's 1533-position model. The record is from RNAcentral.
UACGUAGGGUGCGAGCGUUAAUCGGAAUUACUGGGCGUAAAGUGUGCGCAGGUGGCUUCGCAAGUCGCGUGUGAAAUCCCCGGGCUUAACCUGGGAAUUGCGCUCGAAACUACGGAGCUGGAGUAUGACAGAGGGAGGUGGAAUUCCACGUGUAGCGGUGAAAUGCGUAGAGAUGUGGAGGAACACCAAUGGCGAAGGCAGCCUCCUGGGCCAAUACUGACACUCAUGCACGAAAGCGUGGGGAGCAAACAGG